AGAGGGCGCACGGACACACUGGAACUGAAACACGGUCCAGACUCCUACGGGAGGCAGCAGUGGGGAAUUUUGCGCAAUGGGGGAAACCCUGACGCAGCAACGCCGCGUGGAGGAUGAAAUCCCUUGGGAUGUAAACUCCUUUCGAUAGGGAAGAUAAUGACGGUACCUAUAGAAGAAGCCCCGGCUAACUUCGUGCCAGCAGCCGCGGUAAUACGAGGGGGGCAAGCGUUGUUCGGAUUUAUUGGGCGUAAAGGGUGCGUAGGCGGUUUGGCAAGUCUUGUGUGAAAUCUUUGGGCUCAACCCAAAGUCUGCAUAAGAAACUGCCGGGCUUGAGUAUGGGAGAGGUGAGUGGAAUUUCCGGUGUAGCGGUGAAAUGCGUAGAUAUCGGAAGGAACACCUGUGGCGAAAGCGGCUCACUGGACCAUUACUGACGCUGAGGCACGAAAGCUAGGGGAGCAAACAGGAUUAGAUACCCUGGUAGUCCUAGCCCUAAACGAUGAUUGUUUGAUGUGGCAGGUACCCAAUCCUGCCGUGUCGAAGCUAACGC
Molecule: ribosomal RNA, 547 nt
Filed under: uncultured bacterium
Lineage: Bacteria
Description: bacterial SSU rRNA
Rfam family: Bacterial small subunit ribosomal RNA
Source: RNAcentral